Molecule: long non-coding RNA, 170 nt
Organism: Oxyura jamaicensis (ruddy duck)
Lineage: Eukaryota; Metazoa; Chordata; Aves; Anseriformes; Anatidae
Exons: 2
Source: RefSeq, a predicted model, not a curated record
GAAGGGGCCGCUCAUUGUUGGCGCUGGAGGACCCGCGAGGAGGCCGCGAGCGGCCCCGGACCGGAGGAGCCGUGGGAGCGCCGCGGGGAGCCGGCGGCGGGGCCGCCUUGGGGCCGGGGCCCUGCUCUGUAACGGCCCCGGGGCCGCCAAUAAAGCUUGGAUGUGUUGGA